Molecule: ribosomal RNA, 1431 nt
Filed under: Lactiplantibacillus plantarum
Lineage: Bacteria; Bacillati; Bacillota; Bacilli; Lactobacillales; Lactobacillaceae
Description: bacterial SSU rRNA
Rfam family: Bacterial small subunit ribosomal RNA
Source: RNAcentral
GCAGUCGAACGAACUCUGGUAUUGAUUGGUGCUUGCAUCAUGAUUUACAUUUGAGUGAGUGGCGAACUGGUGAGUAACACGUGGGAAACCUGCCCAGAAGCGGGGGAUAACACCUGGAAACAGAUGCUAAUACCGCAUAACAACUUGGACCGCAUGGUCCGAGUUUGAAAGAUGGCUUCGGCUAUCACUUUUGGAUGGUCCCGCGGCGUAUUAGCUAGAUGGUGGGGUAACGGCUCACCAUGGCAAUGAUACGUAGCCGACCUGAGAGGGUAAUCGGCCACAUUGGGACUGAGACACGGCCCAAACUCCUACGGGAGGCAGCAGUAGGGAAUCUUCCACAAUGGACGAAAGUCUGAUGGAGCAACGCCGCGUGAGUGAAGAAGGGUUUCGGCUCGUAAAACUCUGUUGUUAAAGAAGAACAUAUCUGAGAGUAACUGUUCAGGUAUUGACGGUAUUUAACCAGAAAGCCACGGCUAACUACGUGCCAGCAGCCGCGGUAAUACGUAGGUGGCAAGCGUUGUCCGGAUUUAUUGGGCGUAAAGCGAGCGCAGGCGGUUUUUUAAGUCUGAUGUGAAAGCCUUCGGCUCAACCGAAGAAGUGCAUCGGAAACUGGGAAACUUGAGUGCAGAAGAGGACAGUGGAACUCCAUGUGUAGCGGUGAAAUGCGUAGAUAUAUGGAAGAACACCAGUGGCGAAGGCGGCUGUCUGGUCUGUAACUGACGCUGAGGCUCGAAAGUAUGGGUAGCAAACAGGAUUAGAUACCCUGGUAGUCCAUACCGUAAACGAUGAAUGCUAAGUGUUGGAGGGUUUCCGCCCUUCAGUGCUGCAGCUAACGCAUUAAGCAUUCCGCCUGGGGAGUACGGCCGCAAGGCUGAAACUCAAAGGAAUUGACGGGGGCCCGCACAAGCGGUGGAGCAUGUGGUUUAAUUCGAAGCUACGCGAAGAACCUUACCAGGUCUUGACAUACUAUGCAAAUCUAAGAGAUUAGACGUUCCCUUCGGGGACAUGGAUACAGGUGGUGCAUGGUUGUCGUCAGCUCGUGUCGUGAGAUGUUGGGUUAAGUCCCGCAACGAGCGCAACCCUUAUUAUCAGUUGCCAGCAUUAAGUUGGGCACUCUGGUGAGACUGCCGGUGACAAACCGGAGGAAGGUGGGGAUGACGUCAAAUCAUCAUGCCCCUUAUGACCUGGGCUACACACGUGCUACAAUGGAUGGUACAACGAGUUGCGAACUCGCGAGAGUAAGCUAAUCUCUUAAAGCCAUUCUCAGUUCGGAUUGUAGGCUGCAACUCGCCUACAUGAAGUCGGAAUCGCUAGUAAUCGCGGAUCAGCAUGCCGCGGUGAAUACGUUCCCGGGCCUUGUACACACCGCCCGUCACACCAUGAGAGUUUGUAACACCCAAAGUCGGUGGGGUAACCUUUUAGGAACCAGCC